UAGUGCAAGUCUUAAUUUAAAUAAAGUAUCUGAGUUGCAUUCAGGUGAUGUGGGUGGAAUCUCACAGACUUU
Molecule: transfer RNA, 72 nt
Filed under: Pseudocalotes flavigula
Lineage: Eukaryota; Metazoa; Chordata; Lepidosauria; Squamata; Agamidae
Description: tRNA-Ala
Source: RNAcentral